Molecule: transfer-messenger RNA, 224 nt
Filed under: Novosphingobium sp.
Lineage: Bacteria; Pseudomonadati; Pseudomonadota; Alphaproteobacteria; Sphingomonadales; Sphingomonadaceae
Description: partial transfer-messenger RNA
Rfam family: Alphaproteobacteria transfer-messenger RNA (bases 1-185)
About the family: Bacterial tmRNA, also known as 10Sa RNA or SsrA, is named for its dual tRNA and mRNA-like properties. Its role is to liberate the mRNA from a stalled ribosome.
Source: RNAcentral
CCAGGAUCGACGUGUGUUGAAAGGCACUGUUUUCGCCCGGGCUGAGUAACCCGUAAAAGGCUCAAAACACACAAGUGCCAAUGACAAUGAAGCACUCGCUAUUGCCGCGUAAUUUUAGGGGCUAACGCCCUGAAUUUACAAAGCUAAAGCGCGGUUGGACCCACCGGGCAACAGAAGCGGAUUCCAGGGGCCCGAGGCGAGCCUGGCAACAGAAUCGCCUCACU